AGCUUUGCGCAGUGGCAGUAUCGUAGCCAAUGAGGUUAAUCCGAGGCGCGAUUAUUGCUAAUUGUUGUUGUAACAUUGAGGAGUGCUGAGAUGUUAUGGUGUUAAGAAACAGAGAAUUGCAGCUGUAAAUCAUAAAUUUAAGGAAAUUACAAUGAAG
Molecule: small nuclear RNA, 157 nt
Filed under: Podarcis muralis (Common wall lizard)
Lineage: Eukaryota; Metazoa; Chordata; Lepidosauria; Squamata; Lacertidae
Description: U4 spliceosomal RNA (ENSPMRG00000000261.1)
Rfam family: U4 spliceosomal RNA (bases 1-65)
Source: RNAcentral